Molecule: transfer RNA, 67 nt
Filed under: Marmota monax (woodchuck)
Lineage: Eukaryota; Metazoa; Chordata; Mammalia; Rodentia; Sciuridae
Description: tRNA.Ala
Source: RNAcentral
GGUUAUGACUCAGUGGUAGAGCACUUACCUUGCACGUGAAAGGCCCUGGGUUCAAUCCUCAGCACCA